Molecule: ribosomal RNA, 497 nt
Filed under: uncultured bacterium
Lineage: Bacteria
Description: partial 16S ribosomal RNA
Rfam family: Bacterial small subunit ribosomal RNA
Source: RNAcentral
GAUGAACGCUGGCGGCGUGCCUAAUACAUGCAAGUCGAGCGAACGGACGAGAAGCUUGCUUCUCUGAUGUUAGCGGCGGACGGGUGAGUAACACGUGGAUAACCUACCUAUAAGACUGGGAUAACUUCGGGAAACCGUAGCUAAUACCGGAUAAUAUUUUGAACCGCAUGGUUCAAAAGUAAAAGACGGUCUUGCUGUCACUUAUAGAUGGAUCCGCGCUGCAUUAGCUAGUUGGUAAGGUAACGGCUUACCAAGGCAACGAUGCAUAGCCGACCUGAGAGGGUGAUCGGCCACACUGGAACUGAGACACGGUCCAGACUCCUACGGGAGGCAGCAGUAGGGAAUCUUCCGCAAUGGGCGAAAGCCUGACGGAGCAGCGCCGCGUGAGUGAUGAAGGUCUUCGGAUCGUAAAACUCUGUUAUUAGGGAAGAACAUAUGUGUAAGUAACUGUGCACAUCUUGACGGUACCUAAUCAGAAAGCCACGGCUAACUACGUG